This 656-nucleotide ribosomal RNA is filed under the name uncultured bacterium. RNAcentral describes it as "bacterial SSU rRNA". It matches the Rfam family "Bacterial small subunit ribosomal RNA", at positions 61 to 735 of the family's 1533-position model. The record is from RNAcentral.
GUCGAGCGAGUGGAGUUCUUCGGAAAAAGCUAGCGGCGGACGGGUGUGUAACACGUGGGCAACCUGCCUCAUAGAGGGGAAUAGCCUCCCGAAAGGGAGAUUAAUACCGCAUAAGAUUGUAGCUUCGCAUGAAGUAGCAAUUAAAGGAGCAAUCCGCUAUGAGAUGGGCCCGCGGCGCAUUAGCUAGUUGGUGAGGUAACGGCUCACCAAGGCGACGAUGCGUAGCCGACCUGAGAGGGUGAUCGGCCACAUUGGGACUGAGACACGGCCCAGACUCCUACGGGAGGCAGCAGUGGGGAAUAUUGCACAAUGGGGGAAACCCUGAUGCAGCAAUGCCGCGUGAGUGAUGACGGCCUUCGGGUUGUAAAGCUCUGUCUUCGGGGACGAUAAUGACGGUACCCGAGGAGGAAGCCACGGCUAACUACGUGCCAGCAGCCGCGGUAAUACGUAGGUGGCAAGCGUUGUCCGGAUUUACUGGGCGUAAAGGGAGCGUAGGCGGAUUUUUAAGUGAGAUGUGAAAUACCCGGGCUUAACUUGGGUGCUGCAUUUCAAACUGGAAGUCUAGAGUGCAGGAGAGGAGAAGGGAAUUCCUAGUGUAGCGGUGAAAUGCGUAGAGAUUAAGAAGAACACCAGUGGCGAAGGCGCUUCUCUGGAUU